RNAcentral lists this ribosomal RNA (504 nucleotides) under uncultured bacterium. RNAcentral's name for it is "bacterial SSU rRNA". It matches the Rfam family "Bacterial small subunit ribosomal RNA", at positions 107 to 607 of the family's 1533-position model. The record is from RNAcentral.
UGAGUAAUGUCUGGGAAACUGCCUGAUGGAGGGGGAUAACUACUGGAAACGGUAGCUAAUACCGCAUAACGUCUUCGGACAAAUGGAGGAACCUUCGGGCCUCAUGCCAUCAGAUGUGCCCAGAUGGGAUUAGCUAGUAGGUGGGGUAAUGGCUCACCUAGGCGACGAUCCCUAGCUGGUCUGAGAGGAUGACCAGCCACACUGGAACUGAAACACGGUCCAAACUCCUAGGGGAGGCAGCGGGGAGAAAUUUUGAAAAGGGGGGCGCAAGCCUGAUGCAGCCAUGCCGCGUGUAUGAAGAAGGCCUUCGGGUUGUAAAGUACUUUCAGCGAGGAGGAAGGCAUUAAGGUUAAUAACCUUAGUGAUUGACGUUACUCGCAGAAGAAGCACCGGCUAACUCCGUGCCAGCAGCCGCGGUAAUACGGAGGGUGCAAGCGUUAAUCGGAAUUACUGGGCGUAAAGCGCACGCAGGCGGCCUGUCAAGUCAGAUGUGAAAUCCCCGGG